CUACGGGUUGCUCCAGUGAGGAAUAUUGCACAAUGGAGGAAACUCUGAUGCAGCAACGCCGCGUGGAGGAUGACGCAUUUCGGUGUGUAAACUCCUUUUAUGAGUCAAGAAAAUGACGGUAGCUCAUGAAUAAGCACCGGCUAACUCCGUGCCAGCAGCCGCGGUAAUACGGAGGGUGCAAGCGUUACUCGGAAUCACUGGGCGUAAAGGACGCGUAGGCGGGUUGAAAAGUCAGGUGUGAAAGCCUAAAGCUUAACUGUAGAACUGCACUUGAAACUCUCAACCUAGAGUAUGGGAGGGGCAGAUGGAAUUAGUGGUGUAGGGGUAAAAUCCGUAGAUAUCACUAGGAAUACCUAAAGCGAAGGCGAUCUGCUGGAACAUUACUGACGCUAAGGCGUGAAAGCGUGGGGGGCAAACAGGAUUAGAUACCCCCGUAGUC
This 439-nucleotide ribosomal RNA is filed under the name uncultured bacterium. RNAcentral describes it as "partial 16S ribosomal RNA". It matches the Rfam family "Bacterial small subunit ribosomal RNA", at positions 339 to 795 of the family's 1533-position model. The record is from RNAcentral.